RNAcentral lists this ribosomal RNA (441 nucleotides) under uncultured bacterium. RNAcentral's name for it is "partial 16S ribosomal RNA". It matches the Rfam family "Bacterial small subunit ribosomal RNA", at positions 338 to 795 of the family's 1533-position model. The record is from RNAcentral.
CCUACGGGUGGCUGCAGUGGGGAAUAUUGGGCAAUGGGCGCAAGCCUGACCCAGCAACGCCGCGUGAAGGAAGAAGGCUCUCGGGUUGUAAACUUCUUUUGACAGGGAAGAGUAGAAGACGGUACCUGUCGAAUAAGCCCCGGCUAACUACGUGCCAGCAGCCGCGGUAAUACGGGGGAUGCGAGCGUUAUCCGGAUUUAUUGGGUUUAAAGGGUGCGUAGGCGGGCAUUUAAGCCGGGGGUGAAAGGUCGGGGCGAACCCCCGGCCUGCAGUUGAAACUGGGUGCCUUGAGUGGGCGAGAGGUAUGCGGAAUGCGUGGUGUAGCAGUGAAAUGCAUAGAUAUCACGAAGAACCCCGAUUGCGAAGGCAGCAUGCCGGCGCCCGACUGACGCUGAGGCACGAAAGUGCGGGUAUCGAACAGGAUUAGAUACCCUUGUAGUC